CCNAAAGUCAGCAGACUGCCAUGCAGUCGAGCGGUAACAGAGAGUUGCUUGCACCUUUGCUGACGAGCGGCGGACGGGUGAGUAAUGCUUGGGAACAUGCCUUGAGGUGGGGGACAACAGUUGGAAACGACUGCUAAUACCGCAUAAUGUCUACGGACCAAAGGGGGCUUCGGCUCUCGCCUUUAGAUUGGCCCAAGUGGGAUUAGCUAGUUGGUGAGGUAAUGGCUCACCAAGGCGACGAUCCCUAGCUGGUUUGAGAGGAUGAUCAGCCACACUGGGACUGAGACACGGCCCAGACUCCUACGGGAGGCAGCAGUGGGGAAUAUUGCACAAUGGGCGCAAGCCUGAUGCAGCCAUGCCGCGUGUGUGAAGAAGGCCUUCGGGUUGUAAAGCACUUUCAGUCAGGAGGAAAGGUUAGUAGUUAAUACCUGCUAGCUGUGACGUUACUGACAGAAGAAGCACCGGCUAACUCCGUGCCAGCAGCCGCGGUAAUACGGAGGGUGCGAGCGUUAAUCGGAAUUACUGGGCGUAAAGCGUACGCAGGCGGUUUGUUAAGCGAGAUGUGAAAGCCCUGGGCUCAACCUGGGAACUGCAUUUCGAACUGGCAAACUAGAGUGUGAUAGAGGGUGGUAGAAUUUCAGGUGUAGCGGUGAAAUGCGUAGAGAUCUGAAGGAAUACCGAUGGCGAAGGCAGCCACCUGGGUCAACACUGACGCUCAUGUACGAAAGCGUGGGGAGCAAACGGGAUUAGAUACCCCGGUAGUCCACGCCGUAAACGAUGUCUACUAGAAGCUCGGGUCCUCGGACUUGUUUUUCAAAGCUAACGCAUUAAGUAGACCGCCUGGGGAGUACGGCCGCAAGGUUAAAACUCAAAUGAAUUGACGGGGGCCCGCACAAGCGGUGGAGCAUGUGGUUUAAUUCGAUGCAACGCGAAGAACCUUACCUACACUUGACAUACAGAGAACUUACCAGAGAUGGUUUGGUGCCUUCGGGAACUCUGAUACAGGUGCUGCAUGGCUGUCGUCAGCUCGUGUUGUGAGAUGUUGGGUUAAGUCCCGCAACGAGCGCAACCCCUAUCCUUAGUUGCUAGCAGGUAAUGCUGAAAACUCUAAGGAGACUGCCGGUGAUAAACCGGAAGGAAGGGGGGGACGACGUCAAGUCAUCAUGGCCCUUACGUGGAGGGCUACCCACGUGCUACAAUGGGCCAUAACAGAGUGCUGCGAACCUGCGAAGGUAAACGAAUCACUUAAAAGUGCGUCCUAAUCCCGGAUUGGGAGCCCGCACCUCGACUCCUGGAAAUCCGGAAUUCCUUAGAUACCCGGUUUCAAAAAUGACCGGUGGAAAAACUUUCCCGGGCCUUUGAACCCACCGCCCGGUCACAACUUGGGAAUGGGGUUGCCCCA
RNAcentral lists this ribosomal RNA (1402 nucleotides) under Pseudoalteromonas sp. Hex323. RNAcentral's name for it is "bacterial SSU rRNA". It matches the Rfam family "Bacterial small subunit ribosomal RNA". Lineage: Bacteria; Pseudomonadati; Pseudomonadota; Gammaproteobacteria; Alteromonadales; Pseudoalteromonadaceae. The record is from RNAcentral.